UCGAGUGCGGUAGGGGAGAUUGGAAUUCCUGGUGUAGCGGUGGAAUGCGCAGAUAUCAGGAGGAACACCGAUGGCGAAGGCAGAUCUCUGGGCCGUAACUGACGCUGAGGAGCGAAAGCGUGGGUAGCGAACAGGAUUAGAUACCCUGGUAGUCCACGCCGUAAACGGUGGGAACUAGAUGUGGGGUCCGUUCCACGGAUUCCGUGUCGCAGCUAACGCAUUAAGUUCCCCGCCUGGGGAGUACGGCCGCAAGGCUAAAACUCAAAGGAAUUGACGGGGGCCCGCACAAGCGGCGGAGCAUGCGGAUUAAUUCGAUGCAACGCGAAGAACCUUACCAAGGCUUGACAUAUAGAGGAAAAGUGCAGAGAUGCACUCCCCGCAAGGUCUCUAUACAGGUGGUGCAUGGUUGUCGUCAGCUCGUGUCGUGAGAUGUUGGGUUAAGUCCCGCAACGAGCGCAACCCUCGUCCUAUGUUGCCAGCACGUAAAGGUGGGAACUCAUGGGAGACUGCCGGGGUCAACUCGGAGGAAGGUGGGGAUGACGUCAAAUCAUCAUGCCCCUUAUGUCUUGGGCUUCACGCAUGCUACAAUGGCCGGUACAGAGGGCUGCAAUACCGCAAGGUGGAGCGAAUCCCAGAAAGCCGGUCUCAGUUCGGAUUGAGGUCUGCAACUCGACCUCAUGAAGUCGGAGUCGCUAGUAAUCGCGAAUCAGCAACGUCGCGGUGAAUACGUUCCCGGGCCUUGUACACACCGCCCGUCAAGUCAUGAAAGUCGGUAACACCCGAAGCCGGUGGCCCAACCUUUUGGAGGGAGCCGUCGAAGGUGGGAUUGGUGAUUAGGACUAAGUCGUAACAAGGUAGCCGUA
This 863-nucleotide ribosomal RNA is filed under the name uncultured bacterium. RNAcentral describes it as "bacterial SSU rRNA". It matches the Rfam family "Bacterial small subunit ribosomal RNA", at positions 642 to 1504 of the family's 1533-position model. The record is from RNAcentral.